AUGACCUUAAGGACAGAAUGAAUAAAUCUUGUAAAUACAGAGAAGAUUAUCUUGGCUACUGUGCAAGGAUGGCAGACAAAUUCAUGAAGUGUUGCAUAUUUUU
Molecule: small nuclear RNA, 103 nt
Organism: Mastomys coucha (southern multimammate mouse)
Lineage: Eukaryota; Metazoa; Chordata; Mammalia; Rodentia; Muridae
Source: RefSeq, a predicted model, not a curated record